AAGGCACAAUGACCAGGACAGUACCGAGCUUUGCAGCCAUAUUAAACUCACCUCCAGCUCAGCACAUUCCACUCAAUCACUCAAAAUCGUCCUUUCCUGCUGGUAAAUAACACUGAAAUUGUGGGAAGAUGGGAUGGUAAGCACAAAGUCUGUCUCUGGAAGCACCGGCGCUAUCUCUGAAGACAAACUGAUCGUAACACAAGCCGACCCGGUGGAACGACCUCCAUGCUAAACCCUCAGCUCCCUCUGCAUUUGGACUGUCGCCUGAUGGAAGGUGCGAGGAACCCUGUGACCACGUUGCAGUACAGAGGCAGCUUGGCCAGCCCACCCCUUGGGCCUAAUUUUUCUCCCUGGCCAAAGGGGUCAAACUAUUCCAGUGCUGUGUGCGCCCUGGGCUCCAGAGUAAUCAAACACACAUGUUUGGCGCUCCACUAAUCAGGGAAUGAAAUAAAGCUAGAUGUUUCC
This is a non-coding RNA of Macaca mulatta (Rhesus monkey), 465 nucleotides long. Lineage: Eukaryota; Metazoa; Chordata; Mammalia; Primates; Cercopithecidae. The record is from RefSeq and is a predicted model, not a curated record.